RNAcentral lists this unclassified non-coding RNA (233 nucleotides) under plant metagenome. Its description in RNAcentral is "partial contains small subunit ribosomal RNA, internal transcribed spacer 1, and 5.8S ribosomal RNA". The record is from RNAcentral.
UUUCCGUAGGUGAACCUGCGGAAGGAUCAUUAUUGGAUUUUGAAACUUCAGGCUGCUGCUGGCUCUCCUCGGAGGACAUGUGCACGCUUGUUGUCCAUUAUUUCUCCCACUGUGCACAAAUUGUAGACCUUUCAGUAGGCCUAUGUUGUUUUUCACAAUCUCUGAAUGUAAUAGAAUGGUUUUGAAUCUUGGGAAAUACAAUACAACUUUCAGCAACGGAUCUCUUGGCUCUC